RNAcentral lists this ribosomal RNA (334 nucleotides) under uncultured eukaryote. RNAcentral's name for it is "partial 18S ribosomal RNA". It matches the Rfam family "Eukaryotic small subunit ribosomal RNA", at positions 1470 to 1796 of the family's 1831-position model. The record is from RNAcentral.
CCCUUAGAUGUCCGGGGCCGCACGCGCGCUACACUGAAGGAAUCAGCGUGGCUUUCUCCCUGACCCGAAAGGGUUGGGAAACCCGUUGAAUCUCCUUCGUGAUAGGGAUUGGGGCUUGAAAUUGUUCCCCAUGAACGAGGAAUUCCCAGUAAGCGCGAGUCAUAAGCUCGCGUUGAUUACGUCCCUGCCCUUUGUACACACCGCCAGUCGCUACUACCGAUUGAACGGUUUAGUGAGGGCCUCGGAUUGGUCUCGGCCCGCUCUUUACCGGGCGGCGCCGUUGGUCGAGAAGACGCUCGAACUUGAUCGUUUAGAGGAAGUAAAAGUCGUAACA